Molecule: non-coding RNA, 21 nt
Filed under: Caenorhabditis elegans
Lineage: Eukaryota; Metazoa; Nematoda; Chromadorea; Rhabditida; Rhabditidae
Source: RNAcentral
UUAGAUCCAGUUUUUAGAAAA